This 25-nucleotide non-coding RNA is filed under the name Arabidopsis thaliana (thale cress). RNAcentral also lists the same sequence under 1 other name. The record is from RNAcentral. Lineage: Eukaryota; Viridiplantae; Streptophyta; Magnoliopsida; Brassicales; Brassicaceae.
CCACUGUCCCUGUCUACUAUCCAGC